Molecule: long non-coding RNA, 1229 nt
Filed under: Sorghum bicolor (sorghum)
Lineage: Eukaryota; Viridiplantae; Streptophyta; Magnoliopsida; Poales; Poaceae
Description: long non-coding RNA (SBIC_LNC001181)
Source: RNAcentral
CGGCCGCCCCAGCUAUCGGCACCGUAGAAGCAGACCCCAAGACCUCAUCUUCGCCGUUCUUCUCUAUCUCCGGCGAGCGGCGAUGAACCACGACGACGCAAGGUGAGCGAGCGGCAUGAACAACGCGAGGACAAUGCAGUAUUAGCUAAUUCUUGAUGGGCUUUAUUAUUUUGUUCAGCCCACUCCCAGCUCCCGUGUGACUCUACCGCCGCUAUCCCACCCGGCGCCGGCUUCCUCACGACUUCGCCAGGCGCGGCGCCGCAUCGCUCCUCUGUGGCUCCGCCUCACUCGCUUCCUCGACCACCGCCCAGCCUAGCCACGAGGUCGUCGGGUGCGCCCGCUGCCCGACUAGGCGCCGAGCAAGGCAGCAGCCAGCAAGCUCGUGCUCGUGGAGAUGGAGGGAGGAGGCCAAGGAGGCAACGGAAGAGGGGAGGAGGAGCUGGUGCCUGGUAUUGAGGGGUCUGGGGCUGGCCAUGGUCGCGGUAGCGAACAGGUUAGCGCCGGCGGAGGAGCAAGCGCUCCUGUAGCUCCACCAACAUCUGGAUUCCACCGAGGCCGAGGUUCAAGCCUUCAAGGGGCGUCCCCAGGAGUGGCAUUGGCAAGAAAAAUGGUAUUAAAUCAUUACUUCGUUAUUAAUUUAGCAUCUCUUCUCUCAAAAAUUAAUUUAGCAUCUCAAAUUAUUAGCAACUUAUAAAUUCUAUUUUGACAAGUAAUUUUAUGCAGACUUGAAGAGUUAUUUUCCAACUUUGAGUAUUGGUUCGAGUUCAAUGUGAUAAUAUGUGAGUGCGGUGCGUUGAUGUCUUCUUGGUUCAUUUUCUUUGGAUUUCGCCCCAGCUAAAUUUUUUUUCUAGGUCCGUCAUUGAUUUACGGAGGUGCAAAAUUACUGCCUCUAUAGGUCACGUAUUAACCGAGACCUGAGGCGGUUGGGAAGCUUGCCUCCAUUAACCAAUUUUGUCCAUCUCCAUUAAGCUUUAUGUACUAGUUAUAUACAUAGCUUAUACUUAUGUAUCUGGGCAUAUAAUAUAUAUAUCUAGUACGGUGAAGGAUGGACUAUGAACCGGCCCAACGGAUCCCUUGAUCUCGGUCUCGCUGGUUUUAGAGUUGCUUGCUGCAUGUGAUAGAUGGUGCACGACCUUGGGCAUGCUAGCCCUUGCUGCGUCAACAAUGUAAUAUAAGGAGGGUGUGUGUGUGUGUGUAUAAAAUGCUUCCUUAUAUUAGAUUCACUGUAU